This 72-nucleotide transfer RNA is filed under the name Nanobdellota archaeon. RNAcentral describes it as "tRNA-Thr". It matches the Rfam family "tRNA". Rfam says of the family: Transfer RNA (tRNA) molecules are approximately 80 nucleotides in length. Their secondary structure includes four short double-helical elements and three loops (D, anti-codon, and T loops). Further hydrogen bonds mediate the characteristic L-shaped molecular structure. tRNAs have two regions of fundamental functional importance: the anti-codon, which is responsible for specific mRNA codon recognition, and the 3' end, to which the tRNAs corresponding amino acid is attached (by aminoacyl-tRNA synthetases). tRNAs cope with the degeneracy of the genetic code in two manners: having more than one tRNA (with a specific anti-codon) for a particular amino acid; and 'wobble' base-pairing, i.e. permitting non-standard base-pairing at the 3rd anti-codon position. Lineage: Archaea; Nanobdellati; Nanobdellota. The record is from RNAcentral.
GCCUCAGUAGCUCAGUGGUAGAGCAGCUGCCUUGUAAGCAGCAGGCCGAGGGUUCAAAUCCCUUCUGAGGCU